RNAcentral lists this transfer RNA (70 nucleotides) under Hordeum vulgare. Its description in RNAcentral is "tRNA-Sec". Lineage: Eukaryota; Viridiplantae; Streptophyta; Magnoliopsida; Poales; Poaceae. The record is from RNAcentral.
CCCCGACUAGCUCAGUGGCUCGGGCGCCCCACUUCAUCUGGGGAGACCCGGGUUCGACUCCCAUCGAGUG